Molecule: long non-coding RNA, 2460 nt
Filed under: Linum usitatissimum (flax)
Lineage: Eukaryota; Viridiplantae; Streptophyta; Magnoliopsida; Malpighiales; Linaceae
Description: long non-coding RNA (LUSI_LNC007522)
Source: RNAcentral
UUCGCUCCUAAAACCAUCUAAAGGUGAUGUGGCUUCAGUAGUGGUCGGCAUCCCUACGUGCUCCUCAUAGCAUAAUUAUGAUUCAACUACCACUUAUAGCGAUUUAAACGGUUGAACCACAUACAAUUAGAUUUAUCGAUUCGACGUCAUGAUCCGAUUCUGAAAACCAUCAUAAGAAGUCAUUGAUUGAGGAGAUGGGUUGAAUGUCCCUCUUUUGUAUGCUUAGUAUUGCCAUGGAUAGUAUUUGAUAGCUCAGACAGAGGCACAUGUACCAUUGAUGUACAAGUACAAUGACCCCAACACCAAGCAACAAUACAAAUUCCUUCCUACACAAGUAAUAUCCAAAUUUGCAAACCCUAUCUUACCAAAUCCUAAUAUUCCAUGCAACAUUGUUUCCAGAUUAUAGGAAUGUUGCAGCUGGAUUACUAACGGUCUCAGCAGACCCUUUCCAAUUGCAGAACUCUGCCCUUAAAUGGAAGUACCCACGAAAGAAGACAGAAAUUGCGCAGCUGCAAAGAUAACUAGACAACUGAGUUUCACCGCCAUUCUCAAAACAGGAAACCUUAAAACCAAAUUCUUCAGACGCAAUCGAUAACAAGGAAACCAUUCUUCAACAUAAAUAUGACCACCAUUCUCAAGAAGCAAAAGCAUCAUUCUAACUGUAACCAUGGAGAAAGUACUAGUACUGAGAAUGGUUACCUACGUUCUGAUAGCUGUUUCUUUCUGUGCUUUCUUCGACUGCUGCUGCUGCACCCACACACAUGGAGGAGAGGUUUAACAAAUGGAUGGCGAAAUACAACAGGACAUACAAGAGCGGAGACGAGUAUUUGAGUCAUUUCCAGAUAUACCAGUCAAAUCUUCGUCUCAUUCAGCGUGUCAAUUCUCUGAAUCAGUCAUACUAGCUGACUGAUAGCAAGUUUGCUGACUUGACUCAUGAGGAGUUCAAAUCAAUGUACCUUCGUCUGUUGCCUAAGAAUUCAAGCAAGGAUCAGAAGCAUGCCAAUUUCAGCUGCGAUGAUUUGCCGGAGAAGGUAGAUUGGAGGAAGAAAGGUACUGUUACUGAGGUCAAAAAUCAAUUAUGCGGUAUGAGCUUCUUUUCUCUCUGUAUUCAUAUACUUGCUGUAUUCAGUAUCUAUAAACACAAUCGAAAACUGUAGUAGAUACAUGAUACAUCAUGCUUCGUAUCAUCUGUACCUAGCAAAAAUGCAGAAAAGUUCACUGAAACCAGUUCAAGCUUCUGAAGAAAUUUGAAGGGAGAUUUCAAUGGAAUGCUGAUCCAGCUAUCAUUUCCUUCGUCCUAUUCUGAUUCCUAUUAACAAAAGAAGCUUUUGAUACACCCGAAUAGUGAAGAACGGAAAUCUUAAACUGUUGCAUAGUUCUUCAGAAGCAUCAAUAUGUUUAUUUAAUUUCAUGCUCUAGUUAAGUCGCAUACAAGAGUAUCUAAUGUUACUUUUUUCUCGUUCUACAGGAGAUAGUUGGGCAUUCUCGACUGUGGCAGCUGUCGAGGGCUUCCACAAAAUCAAGACAAGAAAACUAACGACUCUUUCGGAACAAGAGCUCGUAGACUGUGUUGGUGGUGGGGACGGGUGCAAAGGUGGGGCCGUAGAGGAUGCAUACGACUUCAUCACGGAGAUUGGGGGACUAACGACUAAUGAUAACUAUCCUUACAAAGGCAGAGAUGGAGUUUGCCAGAAAAAGAAACUGAAACAUCCUUCUGCAAAAAUUAAUGGAUAUGAAGUAUUACGUACCGACAACGAGACAAUCCUCCAAGCCUCUGUUGCAAAGCAGCCUGUCAGUGUUGCAAUUGAUGCUAUGCAAUUGAUGCUACUCAUUUCCGAUUAUAUUCCAAGGGUAUCUUCAUUGGACCCUGCAAAUCAGACCUCAACCACGGAGUCGCAGCAGUUGGGUAUGGAGCUGAACAUGGUAAGAAGUACUGGAUUCUGAAAAGUUCAUGGGGGAAAGACUGGGGAGAAGCUGGAUACAUCAGGUUGCCACGUGAUGUGAAGGAGAAAGGUGGCAAGUGCAGCAUUGCCAUGGCAAUCAGUUUCCUGUCUGAAUUCGUAUUGUCUCCCAUGUGAAUAAUCCCCGGGUCUAGUAUCAGAACAUAAUCUUAAGCGUCAACUAUCAUAAGCUCCAUUCCAUGAAAUGUGUACGCUUUGAAGCAUUAAAGGACUAUAGAAGUCCAUGCAUCAUAUAUCUCCGGAAGAGUAAACUAACCAUGUCAAUAAUGAUAGAAUCACGCAUCAAAUCAUCUUCAUAGAAAUUAAAAUCGAAUGGUUUCGCUUCCUCACAGACAUUCACCACUUUUCUAACUCUAGUUUCCUCCUGGCUGGCACAUAACUCAUUAGGAACUCGGCUCGUGAGUAGGCCUACUCCUAACCAUCCUUUCAUGAAGUAAACACUACAGUGAUCCUAAAGACAGUUCAUAACCAUUGACUAAAAUUGUAAGCAAUUACCAAG